UACGUAGGGGGCAAGCGUUGUCCGGAUUUAUUGGGCGUAAAGAGCGUGUAGGCGGCUAGGCAGGUCCGUUGUGAAAACUCGAGGCUCAACCUCGAGACGCCGAUGGAAACCAUCUGGCUAGAGUCCGGAAGAGGAGAGUGGAAUUCCUGGUGUAGCGGUGAAAUGCGCAGAUAUCAGGAAGAACACCCGUGGCUAAGGCGGCUCUCUAGUACGGUACUGACGCUGAUACGCGAAAGCGUGGGGAGCGAACAGG
This 253-nucleotide ribosomal RNA is filed under the name uncultured bacterium. Its description in RNAcentral is "partial 16S ribosomal RNA". It matches the Rfam family "Bacterial small subunit ribosomal RNA", at positions 524 to 776 of the family's 1533-position model. The record is from RNAcentral.